RNAcentral lists this ribosomal RNA (347 nucleotides) under uncultured bacterium. RNAcentral describes it as "partial 16S ribosomal RNA". It matches the Rfam family "Bacterial small subunit ribosomal RNA", at positions 338 to 682 of the family's 1533-position model. The record is from RNAcentral.
CCUACGGGUGGCUGCAGUGAGGAAUAUUGGUCAAUGGGCGCGAGCCUGAACCAGCCAAGUAGCGUGAAGGAUGACUGCCCUACGGGUUGUAAACUUCUUUUAUAAAGGAAUAAAGUGAGGCACGUGUGCCUUUUUGUAUGGACUUUAUGAAUAAGGAUCGGCUAACUCCGUGCCAGCAGCCGCGGUAAUACGGAGGAACCGAGCGUUAUCCGGAUUUAUUGGGUUUAAAGGGAGCGUAGAUGGGUUGUUAAGUCAGUGGUGAAAGUUUGCGGCUCAACCGUAAAAUUGCAAUUGAUACUGGCAGCCUUGCGUACAGUUGCGGUAGGCGUACUUCGUGGUGUAGCGGU